Molecule: long non-coding RNA, 2246 nt
Filed under: Homo sapiens (human)
Lineage: Eukaryota; Metazoa; Chordata; Mammalia; Primates; Hominidae
Description: non-protein coding DLGAP1-AS1:2
Source: RNAcentral
CUAUUCAACUGAUAGCAGCCGCCUCUUCUGGGGAGAGCAGAUCUUUCAGAAAGCACUGGCUGCGCUGCUAAUCAAACGCAACAUUGUUCUCAGCAAGGAGGAAGAAUGGAAAGGUUUGUUUCAGAGUCACAACUUUAUUUUUUUUAAAAGGCACCCAAGUUGUUUCAACAAGCUGCUACAAAACUUGGGCUUCCUGAGUGGAGGCUGUUUUGCACAGUGCAUGUACUGUACAAAAAUCCAGGCAGGGAGGGGUCAGAGAGUUCGUCAUUAAAGAAAAAAAAAAAAAAAAGCCCCAGGCACUUGAUGCCUGGAAAUGAUGUCAGACGCAGCCACUCCUCUGUUAGAACUACAGCCAAACAAUGCGCAGGCAAUCCACAGCAGCUGCCCCUGCAAAUGUCAGCGCCAGCCCAGUCAAAAGAGCUUGAAACCUACCAAGCCGGAGGACUGUGCUGUGCCUCUCUCGCCCACAUUUUCCCCAACUUUUUUUUUUUUUUUCUGGCCAGACUGAGAGAAAGGAAUGAAAGGAUGGAAGAAUUACAAGAUCAGGCACUGCUGUCUGUCUGUUCCACGGAUGUAACCACAGCACACGCGUGGCUCACGGUACUAGUGUGAUAAAUGCUUGUUACAUGAAGGCGUGAACAGGGAUGAGAAGAGACUUCCUGGAGAAACAAAAGGACUAACAAUCAGGAAGGGGAGGUGAUCGGGGCAGGAGUAAAGUGGACACCUCAGCAAAGCCAUUCGCUGUGAUCUCUGAUUGUGCAGUGUCAUGUCCUGUCACCAGAGCCCCCUCGUGUUUGAUGUUGGCCAAUGCCGCCAGCAUGAUCUAGCAGGCCAAAUCCUAAUCUACCAUUCUCUGACACCAGCUGGUCCCCUGGGUCGUCCACCCGAUGUCCCCCAUUCUCCCCACUUGGCCUCCCCCACAGGCUCUCGGCAAAGGACCGUGGGAGGCACCUGUGACACUGCCCUUUUCCUGUGCAGCUGUUUUUCUUCUUCAUUCUUUUCACUCCUCGUUACUCUUUUUUUUUUCACUCUCAGCCCACACAAAACUAGGAACUUUGUUAUUCUACUUAUUUUUCUGUACUCUGUCUGUUUGCACACAGAUGGAUAUCUGAGAGCCAGCGAACUUUCUUUACCUCCUAGUAUCAUUUCAUGAAAAUUAGUAGCACCUGCACAAUGGGGCCUUGGAGACAGGAAUAAAAGGAAAAAUCUGGAAUGGAAUCACAUGACGCAACAGGCUAUGAAGACUCCCUGCCCGGCUGCUAUAUGUCUGGUAAACAGAAUAAAUAGUACUUGAGCAUCCCUGACUCUGAGACUGUGGGGUAGCUGGUUGUUUUAAGAUGGGACCAGGGUAUUGUGCACUUAUUGCCAAUUCUUGCUUCAGUAAGUGGGGUGGCUGUGCAGAGUGAGUGGCCUGUGUAUGAACCAGGGUCCGUCCCAUCUAAUGAGAGUCCGGUCAGGCUGAGUCCUCACCAAGACUUCAGCGUGGAUUCAUCAGUAACCUUGGUUCACUGGCAGGCUUGCUGGACUUUGGAGAAAAGGCUGACCCUCCCCCAAAGCAGCCCAUUGCUGCCACUGCCCUAGGAACAGAGGGCCUGGAGCCAGGGCUUGACCUGGUACAGGAGCUUUUGCACAAGGCCGGCUCAAACCUCCAAACCUGGGGAAACAGGAUGCAUGGUGAAGUGAAGAAGAAAGAAAAUGCAUCCACCGUUCCUUCCUGUUGGUGUCAGCACGAUGAGGAAUAAUUACCUGGAUCUGGAAAGCAGGCGUGUGGGAGGCUGCAGGCCCCCCUGAUCUGUGUAGUUAGGCACUUAAUUUUUCAUCCUCCUCCUUCUCUCUGCCCUCCCGAAACCGCCGUUUUCAAAGGAAAAACAGAAAAACGUAUCUGGGUAACCCGUGUAAUACUGUUUACAUCAGCCCACUUGGCCCAGAAAGGAUACCAGCUCCUUACUGAUGCUCAGAUAACAGGGUUAGUGCUUAAAAAAAUUAUGCCUUGGGCCGGGUGCGGUGGCUCACGCCUAUAAUCCCAGCACUUUGGGAGGCUGAGGUGGGUGGAUCACAAGGUCAAGAGAUCAAGACCAUCCUGGCCAACCAACAUAGUGAACCUGUCUCUACUAAAAAUACAAAAAGUAGCUGGGCGUAGUGGCGCAUGCCUGUAGUCCCAGCUGCUCGGGAGGCUGAGGCAGGAGAGUCGUUUAGGCCUGGCAGGCGGAGGUUGCAGUGAGCUGAGAUUGCGCCACACUGCACUC